This is an RNA transcript of Canis lupus familiaris (dog), 8195 nucleotides long. It is a transcript of the gene named cornifin-B-like, with no coding region annotated. The transcript has 2 exons. The record is from RefSeq and is a predicted model, not a curated record. Lineage: Eukaryota; Metazoa; Chordata; Mammalia; Carnivora; Canidae.
GCAUCCCUGCUGACCUGCUGCCCUGCAGUCAUGAUGCCCUGGGAGGCUUGAAGCCCUGCCACCGUGCUUCCUGGCCUCUGUGCUGCCCUGACGCCCUGCUGCCCUGAAGCCCUGGAGCCCUGAGAGGCCUGAAGCACUGCUGCCCUGCUGCCCUUCAUCCCUGCCGAUCUGCUGCCCUGCAGUCGUGAUGCCCUGGGAGGCUUGAAGCCCUGCCACCCUUUUGCCCGGCCUCCAUGCUGUCCUGACCCCCUGCUGCCCUGCAGCCCUGUUGACCUGCUGCUCUGCAGUCCUCAUGCCCUGCAGCCCUCCCGACCUGCUGCCCUGCAGUCCUGAUGCCCUAUGAGGCUUGCAGCCCUACCGCCCAGUUGCCCUGCAGUCCUGCCACCUUAGGAGGCCUGCAUCCCUGCCACCCUGCUGCCCUGCACUCCGGCUUCCCUGAGAGGCCUGCAGCCCUGCCACGCUGGGAGGCUUGCAGCAUUGCCGCCCUGUUGCCCUGAAUGAAGCCCGGCAUCCCUGCGAGGCCUACAGCCCUGGCGCCCUGCUGUCCUGAACCCUGGACGCCCUGUGAAGCUGGCAGACCUGCCGCCCUGCUGUCCUGCCGCCCUUGGAUACCUGCAGCCCUGCUGCCCUGGGAGGUAUGCAGCUCUGCCACCCUGCUGCCCUGCUACCCUGCCUGGUGCCAUGCAGGCCUGCCGCGCUGUGAGGCCUUCAGGCCUACCUACUUGGGAGGCCUCAGCCCUGUCACCCUGGGAGGCCUGCAGCCCUCCUGCCUUGGUGCCCUGCAGCCCUGUCGCCCUGGGAGGCCUGCAGUCCUGUUGCCCUACAGCCCUGCUGCCCUAUGAGGACUGCAGCCCUGCCACUCUUUUGCCCUGCCACCCGGCCUCCCUGCAAGGCCUACAGACCUGAUGCCCUGCAGCCCUACAGCCCUGCUGCACUGGGAGGCCUGCAGCCCUACUGUUCUGCUGCCCUGCAGUCCUGCUGCCCUGGGAGGCCUGCAUCACUGCCACCCUGUUGCCCUACAGCCCUGUUGUCCUACGAGGCCUGUAGCCCUGCUGCCCUGCUGCCCUGUAGCCCUGCUGGGGUGCCAUACCUGUUGCCCUGAUGCCCUGUGAGACCUGCAGCCCUGCCUCCCUGCUGCCCUGUUGCGUUGCUACCCUGCUGACCUGCUGCUCUUCUGUCCUGCAACCCUGCAUACCUACUGCCCUGCAGCCCUUCCGCACUGUGAGGCUUAUAGCAUUGCCACCCUACACCCUGAGCCCUGUAGCCCUGGGAGGCCUGUAGCCCUGCAGCCCUGCCGCUCUUCAGCCCUUCUGCCCUGCUGCCCUGCAUCCUUGAUGCCCUGUUGCCAUGCAGCCCUGCGAGGCCUGCCACCCUUCCACGCUGCUGCCCUGCCUCCCUGCAGCCCUGCUGCCCUGGUAGGCCUACAGCCCUGCCGCCCUGCUGCCUGGCUGCUCAGUGACCCUGAGAGGCCUGCAGCCCUGCCGCAAUGCUUCCCUGCCGCCUUGCCACCCUGCUGCCCUGCAGCCCUUCCACCAUGCUUCUCUGCAGCCUUACUGCCCUGCUGCCCUGCAGCGCUGCCGCCCUGCGAGGCCUGCAGCCCGGUCAGGUGUGUCACCCACCCGGCCUUUAAGGUUUCUGAGCAGACACUGGACCCUGACCUGACUGGACGCUGCCUCCUCCGGCCCCCUCUCACUUGCAGGGCUGAUGUUGCGUUUUAGGAAUAUGACAUGCAGAAGUUUCAGAACCAAGAAUCCUACCGACCAGUAAAAAACAUAUAUGUACAUUUUUAAAUGUCAUAUAUUUAUCUUUUAUACUUAGAAUAGCAUUGGACAUAAUUCAUAUGUACAAAGUUAGUUUUAGCGUUCUGUUGAAGAGAUUCCUUUUAGGCAUGUUAGAGCAAAUUCGGACUUCCAUCCCCAACACAUUUUGAGGUUGGUUUCAACCAGACUCACGUUCUGUUGGAAAAAAGGAGAAUCGUUAGAAGCCCUUUCUAACCUCUCUAGGAGAGAAAUGAUUUACAGCUAUGACAUUUAACCAUAAUUCUUUGAUAUCAUUUGGGAAGAGUUCAAUAAGGAACAGUUUCUUGGUUUUGUUUGUUUGAACAAAAAUAGCAAGCUUGUACAAAUUUUGGGCAAAGAUUUCUUAUAGGAACUCUGAAAAAGGUGGUCAUGUCAGACGUAUGUGAAAACAAUAAAUUACAGUUAUAUUAGUUCCAUCUCCCUUUUUUUUUUUUCUCAAGGAGGGGAAUUUAAACAUAUAAGAGUUAGUAUUUCAGGACAAUAAAGGAAAUUUGGACAAGGAUAUCCCAGAAAAAUCUACCUCUUCAUUUUUCUUGCCAAAUGAGAGGGGAGGGACAGGGUGCUUUUUUGAAAUAAAGACCAUGCUCUUAUUUGUCUUUGUAAGUCAAAAUAAUAGUAGGUGACAAGUGGUUACUCUGAGAUAAUUUGGCUUGGCGGGAGCAAACAUGUUGAGACAGAAUUCGUCAAGGCAAAAUAUUGUUUUAAAAAUGAUUAAUUUCAUCAUUAAUAAAAAUAUUUUAAUAAUAACAGUAAUUUAUCGUUGCCAGGAAGAUUACCUCUCGUCUGACAGUUUAUACAGCGCAAUCUCUGAUUACAGCAAAUGAAGCCAUAGGCGGGCAGCCUUGAUGGGAUCUGUGGUAGUGGCAGUGAGCCAUAGCUAACAACCUGUGUUUGACCACUCAUCCCCUGUUCCCUUGUCUUCCUCACCAACAACCCAUUGUGAUUCAUACAGAGUUAAUAUGGAGGGCAGACUGAAUGAUCCAUGGAGCUCGUUAUAUGAACUUUUAUUCCCUAAAAUACCUUUUGUCCCCUUGUUUACAGCCCACCUCUUCUCUCUUCUCUUUAUUAUAACCAAGGCUCAGCAGAAGCAAACUGGCUUUGUGCAGCUCCUUCUUAGGUGGUCUUUUCUUGGUCAUUUUAUCACUCCUACAUUUCACUUUUUCACUUUUUCACUUUCAUUUCACUAUAAAUGUAUCAAAACUUUCUGUGGUGGAUGACUUCCCCAGUCUUUUGGCGUUGAUUGCUUUAAUUUUGGAAUUUCUAUGCUUUGUUAAAUAUAGUGUCAAAAGGAACAGAAAGUAAAUAUGUUAUUCUGUUUUGCCAUCUUGAACUGAAAAUACCUGUUGAUUUUCGCACUCAGCAUUCGCAUAGGGAGGAAAUAAACAACCUCAGAAUUCACAGAUGUAACAUUCAAGACUUCAACUUUUCUUGAGAAAUGACUAAGGAUUUAACAUGUAGUAAUUUCUUUUUUCCCCCCCUUUUUAAAAGAUUUUAUUUAUUCAUUAUUAGAGACAUAGAAAGAGAGGCAGAGACACAGGCAAAGGGAGGAGAAGCAGGCUCCAUGCAAGGAACCCAAUGUGGGACUUGAUCCCGGGAAUCCGGGAUCACGCCCUGAGCCAAAGCCAAACGCUCAACUGCUGAGCCACCCAGUUGUCCCAGGAUGUAGUAAUUUCUAAUGGGAAAAUAAUACAUAUUUUCAUGAUAAAGUGAGAUGAUGAACAUGAAAAUCCUUUGUAAAGUUUAAAGCUCUAUAAAACUGUUUUUUAUUAUUUUUUGCUAUUUCACUGUGCCUGAACCUUGUUUCUGACAUUGCUUAUGCGAGAAAAUGCCUUCUGGUUUUACUGUUUCAAAAAAUAGACCAUAUUUUUCAGUAGCUCAAUGAAAAUGACAUUGUUCUUCAAGGUUAGGGGUAAAGACACAAAUGUUCCUUGACAGGUAUCACUUUAUAAUAUUUUCAGCAACUAAGUUACUCACGUAUUCCUCCUUCCAGGUUUGUUGAGGACCUACCACCAGCCAGAGGCUUUUUAUUAGGGGUUGGAAAUAUUUUCCAGGUUUUAAGUAUUUUAGGCUCUUUGGGCCAUGUGCAGUUUCUGUAGCUUCUUCUCCUUCUCCAACAACUUCUCAAAAUUUAAGAACCAUUAUUAUCUCGUAGAUCCUACAAGAACAGGCUGAGAACCCAGUUUGACCAGGGGACUGUUAUUUGCUAACCCCUGCCCUACACCUUCACUGAGUAGAAGGCACAUCUUUUAUUAUUAUUAUUAUUUAUUUAUUCAUGAGAGACACACAGAGAGAGGCAGAGACAUAGGCAGAGGGAGCAGCAGGCUCCCAGCAGGUAGCCUGAUGUGAGACUUGAUCCCAGGACCCCGGGAUCACAACCUGAGCCAAAGGCAGAUGCUCAACAUCUGAGCCACCCAGGUGUCCCAGAAGGUCAUCUUUAGAAAUUCACUUCUUUAAACCAGUCAUCGGUUUUCCUGAUCUUGUCUUUAUUCCCCUUCAGUCUCUGAUAACAUGGCAUCCCGAGAGCUUCCGUUAAAACAUAGUUCAAACCGUAUCACUUAAAUCUCUUUAGUUGCUCACUCAAGGCAAAAACCAAAGUCCUCAAAAUGCCCCUACAGCCCUAGCAAUCUAGGCCUCCCAACUUCCUUUCUGAGUUCAUUUCCUUCUUCUCUACACUUUACUCACUGUGGCCUCUGCACACUGAGAUUCUUUCUGUUCCUUGACUAUUCCAGGUAUGUUCUUGCCUCUCUGCGGGUAACAUUCAGUCCGCAGAUAUGUACGUUGAUGUCCCCACAUUCACCUUUUGUUCUUUCUUAAAUUUCAUCUUCCCCAGGAGUAACUAGGUGUCUCAGUUAGGAAUCUGACUCUUGGUUUCAGCUCAGAUCAUGAUCUCAGGGUUGUGAGUUCCAGCUCCUUGUCAGGCUCUGUACUCAGUGGUCUAGUUGUUCCUCUUCCUCCCCCUAGUCUUGUGCGCCCCUCUCUCUCAAAUAAAUAAAUGAAAUCGUUAAAAAAAAAAAAAAGCAUUAAAAGAAUUUCAUCUUCCCCAUAAAGCCUUUGUUGAUCACUUAAUUUCAUAUUGUAACCACUUCCUAUCAACUAACAAUGUUCAUCUCCCUUCCUUGCUUUCUAGUUCCCUUUAGCACUUACCUGACAGGCUAGUUAUUUUAUAUAGAUUUAUUUAAUUUUUAUUUAUAUGUUUAUACUAAAUUUAUAUAUUUGUUUAUUUAUUUUUGCCCCAUCCACUAGAGAGAGGGGAUAUUCAUCGGUGUUGUUCAGUACUGUAUUCCCUGAACAUAUCUAUAAAACAUACUGAAGAACAGUACCUGAAAUCUUGUAAAGGAUCAGUAAAUUUUCUGAACUGAAUGGAUAAUUGUGUGCAUAAAUUAAUGACCAAAGCUCUAGGGUUUCUGAAUUGAGGAUUGAUGGUCAGAGAAAGGCAAAUGGUUUGGACAAGUUCUCUGAUAACUAACCUAAUACUGCAUGAAGCAGUAUUUGUAGUUCUCUGAUAACUAACCUAAUACAUAGGUUUUUGUUAACUUAAGUCGUUAAGAAAUGGGAAAGCUGGUGACUAGUUUGGGGACACACAUCAAGAUUUUUAUAGUGCAUUCUGUAGAGUUAUUUUUAAGCCUGUACAAAUAUCAAUGGAAAUAUAUGCAUUCACAUUUACCUGUAUUACUUUAUUUAAUACUUUACAGGAUCCCUCCAAAUAGGGAUGGAUACCAAGUAUUAAUAUCCUUCCUUUAUGAUGAGGCUACUUUGCUCAAGGUUAUGUAAUAAUUUAGUUGUAAAUGUCAAACUACCCUCAGAGUUUUUCAGUAGAUCCUCCAUAGAAACCUGUGAUAUUAAUAAGACCCACAAAAAUUCGUUCAGCAUCCAGUGAUGCCCACACUACAGACUUAUUUAUGGGCCAUCCAUUUAAACAAAGUGAGCUAGUUUAUACAAGCAAAAGUAUAUCAAGCUUUGUCCUCCAUUAAUAUUAGUAAGGCAAAAAGGGGCUCUAACACUUUCAGGAUGGUUUGAGACCAUCAUAUCUGCAUGAUAAACAUGGAGGUGUUUAGCCAGGAUGUCUUUCUCUGCCACUCAUAAGAAUUCCUAUAAUAUAUAGUGAUAUGUAUUGAACAGAUAAGGGGCUUUUGGGUAAUUAGAAGUCCUUCAGUAUGAUUUUUCCAGAAGCCUUGCCUAUAAAGUGAAAAUAGUUGGUUUGGACACAUUCAGCUAUGAAGAAUUUGUUUAGACCUUAAUUUUCAUGGUAAAUGAAAUGAGCCUAUUUUAUCUCUGCCACCUCAUAUAUGCCUUCCUCAAACUUCUGUUUUGUGUUUGAAAGGACUUAGAAAUUAAAAGCGAAGAUAAAAAAUAAAUGACAACCUAAAUGAUACCCGGGAUAUUUUGUUGGCUUACAUGAGCAUACAGAAUUAAAUAUGACCUAGUUCAAAUGUUUAUUUUAGUUUAAUGUUGUUUAGUGGGGUGGAACCGCCAAGGUGCCGGGAAACAGGAAUUCACCUAUCUUGUUUGGAACUGCAGCCCAUACAUACUUUGGUUACCAGUUCUGCACUUUCUAUAGAAUCGUUUUCAGGUACCACUAUUUUCUAUGUAUAUAUAUACAUAUAUAUCCCCUUUAGUUUAAGUAUUUUUUCCAGAUACUUUUUUAAUAUACAGUGCUCUGAUUCCAAUCUUGCAGAGUCCUGCACCAGUUACGUAGAAUGGAGGACUUUUCUUUCUCUGUAUUAUAUAGAACUCAAUAAAAGAAUAAUGGAAUGGGAUUUCCAAUGUCUUGUUCCUUUGGGAAACCCAUAAUUAUUUUGGGCCCCUUUCCUUUUCUUUGUUUUGAGAGAGUUGUAUUAGAUGAUUCAAAAUAGCAUGUGCUCCCUUUGAAUAAUAUUUUAGAUACAACUGGUAUUCUAAACAAAUAAAGAUAACUACACAUAAAACAUGUUUUUAGAGCUCCCUAUGUUUUACAGAUGAUAAGAUGACAGAGCAUAGUGGAAGUAGAUGAUUUAACCUGAAACUCCAAAGGAGGUGGAGCUAAACCACCUGUCUCCUUUGUUUCUGAAGCUCCUAUAUCCAGAGCAUAGUCUUCUGAAUAUCAAGCCAUGAAGCUUGAUAUUACAAGUAUGUUUAAGGGAGGCUAUUCUUAUAGGAUUUUCAAUUAAUGGCGGAAGUUUCAAAAUUCUUACAAGAUCAUCUGAUCUUGUGAGAUUUACAGUUCCGUUUUCAUGUCAAGCAAGUUGUAUCAGUCCCAGGUAAGCAAUCAUCUGGAUUUCUGGUUGCUUCUUUGAACUAAAAUUCAGAACCUCUUGAGGUUUUCUUCUUGCUCCCUGAAGUUUAUGCCAGAUAAGGCUUUUGUAGGAGUACAUUCAGGCUACUGUAGCUCACCUAAGAAAGACAUUCAGUGAGUCAGUGUUAAGCCCUCCUUCUCAGGCUGAUAGUGAGCUCCUGAUAAAAUAUAAUCAUUAUUAGACACACUUCCUCAAAAUAGAAAAGUAGUUAUCUCAGAUUUUUAAUACCAAAUAAGUAUUUUUACAUUUUCCUAUAAUACAUGUAUUGAUUGUACCUAUCAGGUAUGAUAUACAUACAUACAUUGAAAUAUUAUUCAGCCUUAAAAAGAAAUGACAUUCUGAUACACGCUACAGUAUGGACAAACCUUAAAAACACUAUGCUAAGUGAAGUAAAUCAGUCAGAAAAGGGCAAAUAUUAUAUGAUUCCACCUAGCUGAGGUAUUUAGGGUAGACAAAUUUAUAGAAAUUCAUAGAAUAAUAGUUUCUAGGCAUUGGGAUUAGUGAGUAUUGGGAUGUUAUUUUCAUGGGAAUAGAGUUUCAUUUGGGGGUGAUAAAACAAAGUUCUGGAGAUGGAUGGUGGUGAUGGUUGUACAACAUUGUGAAGGUACUUAAUGCAACUGAAUUGUAUACUUAAAAUUUUAUGUGUAUUUUACCGCCAUAAAAAAAAAAAGACUAAAUGUGUGAUUGAGGCAGUUUUUAUAUACAACACAAAAAGUGUGAUCCAUGAAAGAGAAAAAUUGAUAAUAUGAACCUUAUUAAAUUUUAAAAUGUCCAUUUUGUGAAAGUCAUUGUUCAAAGAAUGGAAAGCAAGCCACUGGCUAGGGGAAUAUAUUUUCAAAAAACAUGUCUUGAGAAAUAUAUGCAUGCAGAAUAUUCAAAGUCGUAGUAAAAACAACUUCAAAAUAAGAAAAUAAACUCCCCAAAUUAAUUAAAAUGAGUAAGACAAUAUGAGUAGACACCUUAAUGGAUAGUAUAUAUAAAUGAGAAAUAAGCAUGUAUAAAUGGGUCAACAUUUGGGGAAUUAUUGGAAAAUGAUAUGCAUUGUGAAUUAGGAAAAAAAAAAACACGAAAGGAAUACUCCACCAAUCUAGUAAAAUGCCUAAAUACCCGAAACUGAUAAUAU